AGUGAGCGCUGGCGGUAGGCCUAACACAUGCAAGUCGAACGGCAGCACAGUAAGAGCUUGCUCUUACGGGUGGCGAGUGGCGGACGGGUGAGGAAUACAUCGGAAUCUACUUUUUCGUGGGGGAUAACGUAGGGAAACUUACGCUAAUACCGCAUACGACCUACGGGUGAAAGCAGGGGAUCUUCGGACCUUGCGCGAUUGAAUGAGCCGAUGUCGGAUUAGCUAGUAGGUGGGGUAACGGCUCACCUAGGCGACGAUCCCUAGCUGGUCUGAGAGGAUGACCAGCCACACUGGAACUGAGACACGGUCCAGACUCCUACGGGAGGCAGCAGUGGGGAAUAUUGCACAAUGGGCGCAAGCCUGAUGCAGCCAUGCCGCGUGUAUGAAGAAGGCCUUCGGGUUGUAAAGUACUUUCAGCGGGGAGGAAGGGAGUAAAGUUAAUACCUUGGCUCAUUGACGUUACCCGCAGAAGAAGCACCGGCUAACUCCGUG
This 492-nucleotide ribosomal RNA is filed under the name uncultured bacterium. Its description in RNAcentral is "partial 16S ribosomal RNA". It matches the Rfam family "Bacterial small subunit ribosomal RNA", at positions 29 to 507 of the family's 1533-position model. The record is from RNAcentral.